Erpetoichthys calabaricus (reedfish) is the source of this 143-nucleotide long non-coding RNA. RefSeq lists it as uncharacterized. The record is from RefSeq and is a predicted model, not a curated record. The transcript has 4 exons. NCBI's taxonomy places the organism in Eukaryota, Metazoa, Chordata, Cladistia, Polypteriformes, Polypteridae.
AGACCCUGUGGUAGUUACUACUUCAACAGAUUCCACAGGUGCUUCAUACACAGCAACCCCAGCUACAGGGGAUUCACAUGGUGCUAUCGCCCAGACAAUGUUGACAGCUACAGCUGGUCCACCUGAAAAGACCCAAGCCCCAG